CAGUAGCCGCGGGAAUACGGAGGGUGCAAGCGUUAUCCGGAUUUAUUGGGUUUAAAGGGUCCGUAGGCGGACUUAUAAGUCAGUGGUGAAAGCCUGUCGCUUAACGAUAGAACUGCCAUUGAUACUGUAAGUCUUGAGUAUAUUUGAGGUAGCUGGAAUAAGUAGUGUAGCGGUGAAAUGCAUAGAUAUUACUUAGAACACCAAUUGCGAAGGCAGGUUACCAAGAUAUAACUGACGCUGAGGGACGAAAGCGUGGGUAGCGAACAGGAUUAGAUACCCCCGUAGUCCCUGUCUCUUAUAA
This 301-nucleotide ribosomal RNA is filed under the name uncultured bacterium. RNAcentral describes it as "partial 16S ribosomal RNA". It matches the Rfam family "Bacterial small subunit ribosomal RNA", at positions 509 to 809 of the family's 1533-position model. The record is from RNAcentral.